This 507-nucleotide ribosomal RNA is filed under the name uncultured bacterium. Its description in RNAcentral is "bacterial SSU rRNA". It matches the Rfam family "Bacterial small subunit ribosomal RNA", at positions 28 to 533 of the family's 1533-position model. The record is from RNAcentral.
GAUGAACGCUAGCGGCAGGCCUAACACAUGCAAGUCGAGGGGUAGAAUUAGCUUGCUAAUUUUGAGACCGGCGCACGGGUGCGUAACGCGUAUGCAAUCUGCCUUGUACUGAGGGAUAGCCCAGAGAAAUUUGGAUUAAUACCUCAUAGUAUUAUGAUGUGGCAUCACAUUAUAAUUAAAGUUCCAACGGUACAAGAUGAGCAUGCGUCCCAUUAGUUAGUUGGUAAGGUAACGGCUUACCAAGACGAUGAUGGGUAGGGGUCCUGAGAGGGAGAUCCCCCACACUGGUACUGAGAUACGGACCAGACUCCUACGGGAGGUAGCAGUGAGGAAUAUUGUCAAUGGGCGCAAGCCUGAACCAGCCAUGCCGCGUGCAGGAUGACGGUCCUAUGGAUUGUAAAACUGCUUUUAUACGGGAAGAAACACUGCUACGUGUAGCAGCUUGACGGUACCGUAAGAAUAAGGAUCGGCUAACUCCGUGCCGGCAGCCGCGGUAAUACGGAGGAU